AUACGCUAUGGCCCAACCGACCCUAAAUGGAGUGUGGCCCCUUUUCGACUUCCCUCUCCCACUCGAUCCCUCGCCACUGCUGCGGCGAUAUUGGCGACGCUCGGGCAGACAGGUGAUCUUCGCAACGCUUAGACUCCGGCAGCGCUCUCCAAGGCCUGCAAUGUUGGACUUUGGAUUAUCAAAGGGCUUAGAUGUAGCUACAUAUUAGUCACAGGAGGCUGGUGAUUUAACUUGAAAGCAAUGGUUGUUACAUUCCACAAUCCCAGUGCAGCUUCUAGCCUCGGGAAACUUAAUGAUUGCCUUCUUAAACCCGCAGUUAUAUGAAGGUUAUCAAGCUUCAAAGGAUGGCAUUGCUAUGUACAUCGAGCGCACUAGAUGCAGCUCCAUCGUCGGAUCAUAUCAAUGUAGCUAGGUGGUACAACAAUCACAUUGAUCCUCUGUUUAAGUUGUGGUAUGUGCUUGAACUUGGUUUAGUUUAUUUGAACACAGGAGUCAUACGGGUCAUGCUGUUUGACCUGUAUGAUCUGAUAGUAGUGGCAUCUCUGAGGAAGACAAGGCUGCGAAAAUUAAGACAUCUGCGACUGAGGAAGCCUCGUCCUUUGCUGCUGUUAUUGACAAGGUGAUUUUGAAACUCUUAAUGGCUUGUGGUGCACAAAAUUCCUCAAAGGAUAUUAUAUAUAUAUAUAUAUAUAUAUAUAUAUAUAUAUAUAUAUAUAUAUAUAUAUAUAUAUAUAUAUAUAUAUAUAUUCAUUGAAUUUAAAAUUUUAUUUGAAGGAUUGGUUUGGCACGUAGAUAUAUUCUUUGCAAAACAAAUUACACAAAUAUUUAACAAUCUCUUGUGGAAUCCAAUGUUCCAUGGGAAUAGUGGUGGUAGAUAAAUUGAUGAUUUAUUUAUUUUUUUAUUUUUAAUCACAAAGUUACAAAUUCAUGUUUGGAGGCAGCUGAAGAGCGUGGAUCAUCGGCAAAGAAGAAAUAAGGCGAGUUUGAUACAUGUUUUUUGAGUAUUUCAUUCUAUAGUUGUUGAUCGGGUCUCUGUGUUUCAAGAUAUGUAUCCUAAUCAACAACAAUGUUUGUAAUCUUCUAGUUGUACGAACAUGGCACGAACCUACGCUCUUUCAGUUGUUUUAUUGUCAUCACAAACUUAACAUUCUUAUGGACAGCUGGAGAGUCUGCGGCACUUUAAUAAAGGACCCCUUACCAUGA
This is a long non-coding RNA of Musa acuminata AAA Group (dessert banana), 1203 nucleotides long. RefSeq lists it as uncharacterized. NCBI's taxonomy places the organism in Eukaryota, Viridiplantae, Streptophyta, Magnoliopsida, Zingiberales, Musaceae. The record is from RefSeq and is a predicted model, not a curated record. The transcript has 3 exons.